This 375-nucleotide ribosomal RNA is filed under the name uncultured bacterium. RNAcentral's name for it is "bacterial SSU rRNA". It matches the Rfam family "Bacterial small subunit ribosomal RNA", at positions 524 to 898 of the family's 1533-position model. The record is from RNAcentral.
GACGAACCGUGCGAACGUUGUUCGGAAUCACUGGGCAUAAAGGGCGCGUAGGCGGUGCGUCAAGUCUUGGGUGAAAUCUUUCGGCUCAACCGGAAAAGUGCCUGAGAUACUGACGCGCUGGAGGGAGAUAGGGGUCUUGGGAACUACCAGUGGAGCGGUGAAAUGCGUUGAGAUUGGUAGGAACGCCGGUGGCGAAAGCGCAAGACUGGGUCUCUUCUGACGCUGAGGCGCGAAAGCCAGGGGAGCAAACGGGAUUAGAUACCCCGGUAGUCCUGGCCUUAAACGAUGGGUACUAGGCAGCGGACUUGACAUGGGUUCACUGCCGAAGCUAACGUGGUAAGUACCCCGCCUGGGGAGUAUGGUCGCAAGGCUGAA